CCACAUCUACGGCCUCUCCAUCACGGGGCUCCGCUUCUUCACCGUCUACGGGCCCUGGGGCCGCCCCGACAUGGCCUACUUCUCCUUCACCCGCAACAUCCUCCAGGGGAAGCCCAUCACCGUCUACCGCGGCAAGAACCACGUCGACCUCGCCCGCGACUUCACUUACAUCGACGACAUCGUCAAGGGCUGCGUCGCCUCCCUCGACACCGCGCAGAAGAGCACCGGGAGCGGCGGCCGGAAGCGUGGCCCCGCCCAGUACCGCAUCUUCAACCUGGGGAACACCUCGCCCGUGACGGUGCCGGCGCUGGUGGGCAUCCUAGAGCGCCACCUCAAAGUCAAGGCGAAGCGCCACGUGGUGGAGAUGCCGGGCAACGGGGAUGUGCCCUUCACCCACGCCAACAUCAGCUCCGCUCGCACCGAGCUCGGCUACAACCCCACCACCAACCUCGAGGCCGGCCUGAAGAAGUUCGUCAAGUGGUACCUCUCCUACUACGGCUACAACCCCAGAAGUGGCGGCGGAGCAACGAAAGCAUCCAAGAGCUUGUAAAAACCUCCCUUUUCCUCUGUUCUCUUCGUUGUUUUUUAUCGAUUUUUUGUCCAAAUUAGCCUCUUUAUUUUUUCUUCGUUUUCUCUCCUCCCUGUUUAUUCUGAGAAAGAUGAACUAGUAAUCACACUCAGAUUAUUUUCUUUUGGAGAGGGAC
RNAcentral lists this long non-coding RNA (704 nucleotides) under Musa acuminata (dwarf banana). RNAcentral's name for it is "long non-coding RNA (MACU_LNC002383)". Lineage: Eukaryota; Viridiplantae; Streptophyta; Magnoliopsida; Zingiberales; Musaceae. The record is from RNAcentral.